Molecule: small nucleolar RNA, 132 nt
Filed under: Malurus elegans (Red-winged fairywren)
Lineage: Eukaryota; Metazoa; Chordata; Aves; Passeriformes; Maluridae
Also listed under: 1 other name
Description: Small nucleolar RNA SNORA1
Rfam family: Small nucleolar RNA SNORA1
About the family: ACA1 is a member of the H/ACA class of snoRNA that guide the sites of modification of uridines to pseudouridines.
Source: Rfam by way of RNAcentral
UGCCUUGUUCUUCAGCAAAUAGGCACAACCUGCUGUGUGUCUGAAUUGGAAAACGGGGCUAGAACAGUAACAGGUUCUGCUUUCCUCGCUGUAAAGUUAAUUGCAGUGGUGACAAUGAGACCUGUAACAAAU